Molecule: ribosomal RNA, 2099 nt
Filed under: Neisseria elongata subsp. elongata
Lineage: Bacteria; Pseudomonadati; Pseudomonadota; Betaproteobacteria; Neisseriales; Neisseriaceae
Description: bacterial LSU rRNA
Rfam family: Bacterial large subunit ribosomal RNA
Source: RNAcentral
CACUGCAUUCUGUGCAGUAUCCUAAGUUGAAUACAUAGACUUAGAGAAGCGAACCCGGAGAACUGAACCAUCUAAGUACCCGGAGGAAAAGAAAUCAACCGAGAUUCCGCAAGUAGUGGCGAGCGAACGCGGAGGAGCCUGUACGUAAUAGCUGUUGAGAUAGAAGAACAAGCUGGGAAGCUUGACCAUAGUGGGUGAUAGUCCUGUAUUCGAAAUCUCAAUAGUGGUACUAAGCGUACGAAAAGUAGGGCGGGACACGUGAAAUCCUGUCUGAAUAUGGGGGGACCAUCCUCCAAGGCUAAAUACUCAUCAUCGACCGAUAGUGAACCAGUACCGUGAGGGAAAGGCGAAAAGAACCCCGGGAGGGGAGUGAAAUAGAACCUGAAACCUGAUGCAUACAAACAGUGGGAGCGCCUUUAUGGUGUGACUGCGUACCUUUUGUAUAAUGGGUCAACGACUUACAUUCAGUAGCGAGCUUAACCGGAUAGGGGAGGCGUAGGGAAACCGAGUCUUAAUAGGGCGAUGAGUUGCUGGGUGUAGACCCGAAACCGAGUGAUCUAUCCAUGGCCAGGUUGAAGGUGCCGUAACAGGUACUGGAGGACCGAACCCACGCAUGUUGCAAAAUGCGGGGAUGAGCUGUGGAUAGGGGUGAAAGGCUAAACAAACUCGGAGAUAGCUGGUUCUCCCCGAAAACUAUUUAGGUAGUGCCUCGAGCAAGACACUGAUGGGGGUAAAGCACUGUUAUGGCUAGGGGGUUAUUGCAACUUACCAACCCAUGGCAAACUCAGAAUACCAUCAAGUGGUUCCUCGGGAGACAGACAGCGGGUGCUAACGUCCGUUGUCAAGAGGGAAACAACCCAGACCGCCAGCUAAGGUCCCAAAUGAUAGAUUAAGUGGUAAACGAAGUGGGAAGGCCCAGACAGCCAGGAUGUUGGCUUAGAAGCAGCCAUCAUUUAAAGAAAGCGUAAUAGCUCACUGGUCGAGUCGUCCUGCGCGGAAGAUGUAACGGGGCUCAAAUCUAUAACCGAAGCUGCGGAUGCUAGUUUACUGGCAUGGUAGGGGAGCGUUCUGUAGGCCGAUGAAGGUGCAUUGUAAAGUGUGCUGGAGGUAUCAGAAGUGCGAAUGUUGACAUGAGUAGCGAUAAAGCGGGUGAAAAGCCCGCUCGCCGAAAGCCCAAGGUUUCCUACGCAACGUUCAUCGGCGUAGGGUGAGUCGGCCCCUAAGGCGAGGCAGAAAUGCGUAGUCGAUGGGAAACAGGUUAAUAUUCCUGUACUUGAUUCAAAUGCGAUGUGGGGACGGAGAAGGUUAGGUUAGCAAGCUGUUGGAAUAGCUUGUUUAAGCCGGUAGGUGGAAGACUUAGGCAAAUCCGGGUCUUCUUAACACCGAGAAGUGACGACGAAUGUCUACGGACAUGAAGUAACCGAUACCACGCUUCCAGGAAAAGCCACUAAGCUUCAGUUUGAAUCGAACCGUACCGCAAACCGACACAGGUGGGCAGGAUGAGAAUUCUAAGGCGCUUGAGAGAACUCGGGAGAAGGAACUCGGCAAAUUGAUACCGUAACUUCGGGAGAAGGUAUGCCCUCUAAGGUUAAGGACUUGCUCCGUAAGCCCUGGAGGGUCGCAGAGAAUAGGUGGCUGCGACUGUUUAUUAAAAACACAGCACUCUGCUAACACGAAAGUGGACGUAUAGGGUGUGACGCCUGCCCGGUGCUGGAAGGUUAAUUGAAGAUGUGAGAGCAUCGGAUCGAAGCCCCAGUAAACGGCGGCCGUAACUAUAACGGUCCUAAGGUAGCGAAAUUCCUUGUCGGGUAAGUUCCGACCCGCACGAAUGGCGUAACGAUGGCCACACUGUCUCCUCCCGAGACUCAGCGAAGUUGAAGUGGUUGUGAAGAUGCAAUCUACCCGCUGCUAGACGGAAAGACCCCGUGAACCUUUACUGUAGCUUUGCAUUGGACUUUGAAGUCACUUGUGUAGGAUAGGUGGGAGGCUUAGAAGCAGAGACGCCAGUCUCUGUGGAGCCGUCCUUGAAAUACCACCCUGGUGUCUUUGAGGUUCUAACCCAGACCCGUAAUCCGGGUCGGGGACCGUGCAUGGUAGGC